RNAcentral lists this ribosomal RNA (255 nucleotides) under uncultured bacterium. RNAcentral describes it as "partial 16S ribosomal RNA". It matches the Rfam family "Bacterial small subunit ribosomal RNA", at positions 99 to 354 of the family's 1533-position model. The record is from RNAcentral.
CGGACGGGUGAGUAACGCGUGGGCAACCUGCCCUAUACUGGGGGAUAACACCUGGAAACAGGUGCUAAUACCGCAUAAGCGCGCUGUGCCGCAUGGCGCGGCGCGGAAAACCCCGGUGGUACAGGAUGGGCCCGCGUCUGAUUAGCUGGUUGGCAGGGUAACGGCCUACCAAGGCGACGAUCAGUAGCCGGCCUGAGAGGGUGGACGGCCACACUGGGACUGAGACACGGCCCAGACUCCUACGGGAGGCAGCAG